Molecule: long non-coding RNA, 2059 nt
Organism: Vespa velutina
Lineage: Eukaryota; Metazoa; Arthropoda; Insecta; Hymenoptera; Vespidae
Exons: 2
Source: RefSeq, a predicted model, not a curated record
AUAAAUAAAAAUUCGAUAUUAGUUAAAAAAAAAAAAAAAAAGAAAAAGAAGAAAAAGAAAGAUGAAGAGAAAACUGAAAAAGAUAAAAUAGAAGAAGAAGAAGAAGGUGGAGAUGUUGAAGGGAAAGGAGAUGAGGGAAAAUAUAGAAGUAGGAAAAAUAAGGUACCAUAUACCGAGCACGCGACAGCUGCAUCCCAUCGUUGCGCUUGCGUUACACAGUGGCAGAGAGUUUACAGGCACAGUUGCAUCUUUGCAAUGACGGCUGCGCUCCCCUCCAGACUACUAUACCCCACCCUACCCUUUUUCGACCAUAGAGAGGAUAGGAGGAUAGGCAACGAGGGGGUUGGUUAAAGAAAAAGAGAGAGAGAGAGAGAGGCGGAGAGUUAGUAACUACGAAGAGUCCGUUGGAAGGAGAAGAAGAAGUAAGAGGAGGAGAGAAAUAAUAAUAGAAGGAGAAAGAGGAAAGAGAAAUAUUAAUAGAAAAGUAUACGUAGUAUUAGAAUUAGUAUUAGAAAAAUAAAAGUAGAUAUGGUCGAGGAAAUGGAAAGGAAAGGGCUUCUCUCUCUCUCUCUCUCUCUCUUUUUCUCACUCUGUCUCUCUUUCCUUCUUUUUCUCGUAGUAUGAGGAGGGCGCUAUUACGAGGAGCGAAAGGAUCUCUUUGUCCUCUCAGUGAGAAAGAAAGAGAGAGAGAGAGAGAGAGAGAGAGAGAGAGAGAGAGAGAGUGAUCCUUACAGCAGCACUGACCUGCUGCCCCACUGGCGUAGAGAGCCCGGAGGAGUCUUGAUUUAUCGAGCGUGUUCUUCUCUUGGCUUGGAUGCUGCGCUCCACAUACGUGAGUUCUUCCUCCUCCCCCUCCUUCUUCUUCUGCAUCUUCUCCUUCUCCUCUUCCUCUUCCUCUUUCUCUUUCUCUUUCUCUUCUAUCUUCUUCUUCUUCUUCUUCUUCUUCUUUUUCUUCUUCGUCGCCGUCGUCGUCGUCGCCGUCGUUGUCGUCGUUGUCGUCGUCGUCGUCGUCGUUGUCGUCGUUGUCGUCGUUGUCGUCUUUCUCUUCGUCCUUCCUUUACAGCUCUUCUGUCCCUUCACUUUUUACUCUAUCCUUAGGCACACGUCGGCCGCUAAUUGCUUCGUUCCCUUUAUCGACGAUAAAUUCUCGGUGCGAAGCGUUUUAAACCGGCUAGUGUUCUGCCGAUCGAUUGCGUUUUUUACUUAGAGAGUGUGUUGAGUGAAAGAGAGAGAGAGAGAGAGAGAGAGAGAGAGAGAGAGAGAGAGAGAGAGAGAAUUAUGAUAGAAGACAAGUCAUCGUUAUAGACCAUGUCCUCGUUUAAAACGAGCAAACAUAGGGGAAGUUAUGAGACGAUAAAUCCUCGAAACUGUUUCCUACUUUCUUCUCUAACAUAUAUCUGCCGAAGAAUGAUAUUGUUUUAUUAAAAGAAAAUAAAAAAAAAAAGAAGAAGAAGAAGAAGAAGAAAAAGGAAAGAAUAAAAAUAAAAUUAAGAAAGAAAUGUGGAGGGAUAAAAAAGAGUUACGUCUACUACUUGAAUCAUAUUUUUAUAUACGUAUAUAUAUAUAUGUUUAUAUUUAUAUUUAUAAAAAGAGAUAGAUAGAUAGAUGGAGAGAGAGAGAGAGAAUGUAAAAAUAUUUUUAACUUCGAUAUAAUAUAAUUCAACCGAUGCGUACAUAAUCGACACAAAAGCGAUCUGUCAAUUCAUGCGCUAAAUUUUUCGCAUGUAGGUCAGAGUGUUAUAUAAACAGGAUGAUUAUAGAUCGUGUGGAAGGAAGGAAGGACGAACGGAAGAAGAAGAAGAAGAAGAAGAAGAAAAGAAGUUUCGUUUCCAUUGCCGACCAUUAAACCAGGGAUGAUAAAUUUUUAUAUACGCCUGUUCCAACGUUAAUAGUCACUUACUUUCGGUCGACAUUCUUUUGAAACCUGUUUUUCGUGAAACUCGCCUAUAAGAAGCUCGUACUUUGACCAGAGACGUAUCUAUAGAAAAUCGAACAUUUUUCGAACACCUUUCUCUCUUCUUAUAUUAUUAUUCAUACGAAAUUAUAUGGUUGAGAUGUU